RNAcentral lists this ribosomal RNA (345 nucleotides) under Triticum aestivum (bread wheat). Its description in RNAcentral is "partial small subunit ribosomal RNA". Lineage: Eukaryota; Viridiplantae; Streptophyta; Magnoliopsida; Poales; Poaceae. The record is from RNAcentral.
AUGUUUGAAGGAAAAGAUAGUUACAAUUAUUUUUCUCUCGCCUUAUUACAUCUUGAUGUUAAUAGGCGUUGGAAGGUACUAUGGACCACAUUCAAGGUUUACCGAAUUUGCACAAUCCUAUUACAGUUUAUUCUGAUGAAAGAAUUGACCAGUUCUUCCUUGAGUAAAUUAGUAUUGCUGAUGCUACUCCUUUGUGCAUUGUUACAUAGAGUUAUAGUUGUGAAGAUAGUUACAAUUAUUUUUCUCUCGCCUUAUUACAUCUUGAUGUUAAUAGGCGUUGGAAGGUACUAUGGACCACAUUCAAGGUUUACCGAAUUUGCACAAUCCUAUUACAGUUUAUUUUGA